AAUGCAGAGAUCAACAUGGAUGAAGCUC
Molecule: small RNA, 28 nt
Filed under: Bombyx mori (domestic silkworm)
Lineage: Eukaryota; Metazoa; Arthropoda; Insecta; Lepidoptera; Bombycidae
Description: ovarian small RNA-10830
Source: RNAcentral